CCCUUAGAUGUUCUGGGCCGCACGCGCGCUACACUGAUGCAUUCAACGAGUCUAAAACCUGCUCUGAUAGGGGUGGGUAAUCUUUUGAAUGUGCAUCGUGAUUGGGAUAGAUGAUUGCAAUUUUUCAUCUUCAACGAGGAAUGCCUAGUAAACGCAAGUCAUCGGCUUGCAUUGAUUACGUCCCUGCCCUUUGUACACACCGCCCGUCGCUCCUACCGAUUGAAUGAUCCGAUGAAUAUCAUGGAUUGAGGAUGCAAGCAGGUUCGCCUGUCUUCAUCUUCGAGAAGUGAAGUAAAUCUUAUCAUUUAGAGGAAGGAGAAGUCGUAACA
Molecule: ribosomal RNA, 329 nt
Filed under: uncultured eukaryote
Lineage: Eukaryota
Description: partial 18S ribosomal RNA
Rfam family: Eukaryotic small subunit ribosomal RNA
Source: RNAcentral